GCAAGUCGAGCGAAGUAACCUUAAAGAAAUUUCGGAUGGACUUAAGAUUAUCUUAGCGGCGGACGGGUGAGUAACGCGUGAGAAACCUGCCUUUCACAAAGGGAUAGCCUCGGGAAACUGGGAUUAAUACCAUAUGAAACUUUACACUCGCAUGAGAGUGAAGUUAAAGCGUUAAGCGGUGAAGAUGGUCUCGCGUCCCAUUAGUUAGUUGGUGAGGUAACGGCUCACCAAGACAGCGAUGGGUAGCCGGCCUGAGAGGGUGAACGGCCACACUGGAACUGAGACACGGUCCAGACUCCUACGGGAGGCAGCAGUGGGGAAUAUUGCACAAUGGAGGAAAAAACCUCUGAUGCAGCGACGCCGCGUGAACGAUGAAGGCCUUCGGGUCGUAAAGUUCUGUCCUUGGGGACGAUAAUGACGGUACCCAAGGAGGAAGCCCCGGCUAACUACGUGCCAGCCGCUGC
This 464-nucleotide ribosomal RNA is filed under the name uncultured bacterium. RNAcentral describes it as "bacterial SSU rRNA". It matches the Rfam family "Bacterial small subunit ribosomal RNA", at positions 57 to 518 of the family's 1533-position model. The record is from RNAcentral.